Molecule: long non-coding RNA, 303 nt
Organism: Hyaena hyaena (striped hyena)
Lineage: Eukaryota; Metazoa; Chordata; Mammalia; Carnivora; Hyaenidae
Exons: 3
Source: RefSeq, a predicted model, not a curated record
UCUCUUCCCGACAGAAGGUGGAACCAACAGAAAGAAUCUCAGUUAAUCCUCACAAUUUCCCUGGUCACAGGGCUCCAGGGUCUGAGAGUACAAGUACUCCGCUCCUGCAGACACGGAGAUUUGUGUGUGCAAAUUGGGACAAAAGAGUUCCCUUUCAUGGAAGCUUUUAAGAAGAAUUUCACAACAGAUGGCCAACUGGUAUACCUAGAUAGGGUUUUACAAAAGGCAGUAGCCAAUGAGGCGGAGUCACCUGAUUCAGGAACUGGGUCUCAGAUUUAGAGUGGAUAAAAACCCCAGAAACUA